GACGAACUGUCCUAACGUUGUUCGGAAUCACUGGGCUUAAAGGGCGCGUAGGCGGUCCGACAAGUCAGGGGUGAAAUCCUGCGGCUUAACUGCAGAAGUGCCUUUGAUACUGUCGGUCUUGAGGGAGAUAGGGGUGUGCGGAACUCACAGUGGAGCGGUGAAAUGCGUUGAUAUUGUGAGGAACGCCGGAGGCGAAAGCGGCGCACUGGAUCUCUUCUGACGCUGAGGCGCGAAAGCUAGGGGAGCAAACGGG
This 253-nucleotide ribosomal RNA is filed under the name uncultured bacterium. RNAcentral describes it as "partial 16S ribosomal RNA". It matches the Rfam family "Bacterial small subunit ribosomal RNA", at positions 524 to 776 of the family's 1533-position model. The record is from RNAcentral.